GUCCAUUGCUUCGGAAGUACAUAAACUAAAAUUGGAACAAUACAGAGAAGAUUAGCAUGAUGACAUGCAAAAUCGUGAAAAAAAAUAAAAAUAA
Non-coding RNA from Acyrthosiphon pisum (pea aphid), 94 nucleotides. The record is from Rfam. NCBI's taxonomy places the organism in Eukaryota, Metazoa, Arthropoda, Insecta, Hemiptera, Aphididae.